CAGCCGUAAACUAUGCGCGUUAGGUGUACUGGUGACCACGAGUCACCGGGGUGCCGAAGGGAAACCGUGAAACGUGCCGCCUGGGAAGUACGGUCGCAAGGCUGAAACUUAAAGGAACUGGCGGGGGAGCACAACAACGGGUGGAGCUUGCGGUUUAAUUGGAUUCAACGCCGGAAAUCUUACCGGGACCGACAGCAACAUGAAGGCCAAGCUGAAGACUUUGCCGGAUUAGCUGAGAGGAGGUGCAUGGCGUAGUCGUGU
Molecule: ribosomal RNA, 261 nt
Filed under: uncultured archaeon
Lineage: Archaea
Description: partial 16S ribosomal RNA
Rfam family: Archaeal small subunit ribosomal RNA
Source: RNAcentral